GAAAGCUAGGAGAAAGGACCCCGGCAAAAGGGAGCCUGGAGUCAAAGAAAGCAGAGGAAGAAAGGCGAGGAAGAUCUCCGAGGCUGCUCCGCAGCGAAAUCUUCCUGGCUUUGUGCUAAGGAGGAGGACUCCCUUCUUCCCAGGUGCCAGAGGGACCUGAGCAAGCCUAUCUGUCCGGGAGCUCCUCCGGACCAGGACCCCAAGGGUGUCUGAGUGCUGACCGCCGCUCCCCCAUCAAUUCCUCGUGGCCAGAGGAAGCGCGCCAGAUUGAAAGCUCCUAUCACUUGCUGGCUUUCCGAGGCUGCGAUAAAUAUCUUCCUCGACGUGAAGGCCGGGGAAGCCGCUGGCGGAGUGGCUGCGGUGAACUCCAGAAAUGAACCUGCGGCGCGACGCCACGGGCUGCUGCCCUGGCCAACACUCACCUCGAGCGACCGACAUUGAGAGAGCUCCCGACGCGGCCGCGGGGGGACCUUGCUCCGCCCUCCCGUCCCAGGAGAAGAAGACAAAAAAAGAGGGGGGUUGGGGGGAGAUGGACUUGGAGAUGGCCCCGCCCUUCAAACGCUCCAAUCCUUGGAAACCAAACCUCCUCUCCAAGCUUCCACGUCUAGAAGGGACAAAGACUGCCAGGAGAUCCAGUCGCUGAUGGGGAGAUGAUGCCUCCUCGCGCUUCUGGGGUGGGUACUUUUUGGAGGGUAGGUAUCACGGCUGAGUUUCCAUCCCAAAUAGGUCACCAAGGGAUGAUCUGUAGAGGACAAACUGAAUCCUUCUGGUAGAGCAGCAAGCUGACUUUUCAAAGCUGUGAAGCAAACAAUUGCAAAACUCCGCCACAGCCUGCUGUGUUGAAGGUGGAAGACUAAAAUUUCUAUUCAUGGUGCCACCGUCCUUUUUGGGUUUUCUACCUUUAGAAGUCCGAAGUUUUCUAACUCCCCAACUAAAAUAAAUGAAAGACAUUAAACGUAAAAGGAAUGGGGCGGUUUUACUGUUCUUUUUUUUGAGGGGGGGGGGCUUUCUGAAAUGAUAGAAAAACAGUUGGUGAAUGAAGGUGGGGACAGUGAAGGGAAGAGCUGUGGCUGGAGGCUUUGGUGAAUACCUUAAUAAACUUGCUACUUAAAUAACUGUAAUUAUGUUUUGCCAUUAGCAGACCAUUUAGAUAAGCAGGAGAAAGUUCACACCUGCUAUUUCACCCCCCACAAAUAUUCACAAAGAUAAUGCAAGCCUAAAGACUGGCUUAUCUUCUCCAUCAGGAGGGUUGGUGCCUGGUCCCUUCCUUUUUUAAAACUAAAGGUGGAAAGCUUGGGUUUUACACACAAGCACCAACGGGAAGGAAAUCUCUUGAGGGACGCAUUGACUGCCUGAAAUUUACUGUUUGAUGCUACACCUUAUGUCAUUAUCCCCUGGAGUCAGAUGGGAUUUCGAGACUACUAAUGGUCUAGAGAAUAAGAAUGUGUUGAAAGUCUGGACUUUUC
Long non-coding RNA from Meriones unguiculatus (Mongolian gerbil), 1466 nucleotides. RefSeq lists it as uncharacterized. NCBI's taxonomy places the organism in Eukaryota, Metazoa, Chordata, Mammalia, Rodentia, Muridae. The transcript has 3 exons. The record is from RefSeq and is a predicted model, not a curated record.